UUUCUUCCAAAUUUGUCCCUGUAUUUCAAUUCAUUUUACUGAUAUCUGCUGUCAUGUGUGUGUUUAAUGAAUUUUGUGUAAAAUCACUUUUUCUUUACGGGAAUGUUCCCGCAAACUAUGUCGGUUCUGCAAAAUAUUUUAAUUUUAUUUUCUUUUUCAGUUCUUCUGGCCUUCACAUAAAUUCUACCAUUUUAUCUACAUAUUUUUUUAAUCUGUUUUAUUUACUUAUUGGAUAUACUUUCUUUUACUUUUGGAUAUGGUUUUAUCGCAUGGCUGACGAAGCAGUCACCGCUUGGAUUGUUUGGCAUUUGUUAAUCUCGGAUUUGUAGAAAUUGGAUAGUCUUUCACGUUCUCUGCACGUGUACCACCGGUUCCACCGUUCGCAGUAUUAUUAUCAGAUUCGAAAAAGUUAAAUAAUUUUUUUUUUUUUUUGUUCUUAUCCUUCCGUUCUGCUGAUUUCACCCUUUCUCGAUUCAUAUAAAAGCAAAACUCAUUUUUACUUUCUACUCCAUUUCCUGUUACGUCCUACACCUUCAAAAUCAAAAUCCUCUCACUCACAUCGCACAAACUUUCAGUGGUUCAGUGUUGAUAGAUUAGUUCCUCGUUUUGAAGUUCCAAAGAUAAGUAGGUUUGCUGCUUGUUCUUACUUUACUAUCCCUUGUUACUGUUGUUGUCAAUUUCUUCUAUUUUCAUUCUACUUUCUGGUAUGUC
This is a long non-coding RNA of Juglans regia (Persian walnut), 711 nucleotides long. RefSeq lists it as uncharacterized. The record is from RefSeq and is a predicted model, not a curated record. The transcript has 2 exons. NCBI's taxonomy places the organism in Eukaryota, Viridiplantae, Streptophyta, Magnoliopsida, Fagales, Juglandaceae.